Molecule: ribosomal RNA, 1518 nt
Filed under: Ancylostoma ceylanicum
Lineage: Eukaryota; Metazoa; Nematoda; Chromadorea; Rhabditida; Ancylostomatidae
Description: eukaryotic LSU rRNA
Rfam family: Eukaryotic large subunit ribosomal RNA (bases 1-1190)
Source: RNAcentral
GUGCGUUGUCUAGCGCCUGACCGCAACGAGAAGGAGAGUCGUGGCGGUUGCGUCGAAGGCUUUGGGCGUAGGCUCAGCUGGAGCUUCCGUCACUGCAGAUCGGCGAUUGCGGCUUUUUAAGUCGCUUGCCCGAUAACGCACUCGAACUUGGUUACGUCGCUCAGGAACUGAGCCAGAGUCCUUUAGUUAAGGAACGGACUCCCUGGAAUUCGUGUUCUCUGGGCGACCCACGAGAAACCAAGGGAGGCUUUUAAUCUGUGCUGCAUCGUACCAAUAUCCGCAUCACGUCUCCAAGGUGAGCAGCCUCUAGUCGAUAGAAUAAUGUAGAUGAAGGAAGUCGCCAAAUUAGGUCCGUAACUUCGGGAAAAGGGAACGUUUUCAGAUGUGUGCUUUGUCUUCGGGCUCAGUAUCCUGACCGACAAUCAAAACGGUUGAACUGGAACUGGUACGGACUCGGGGAAUCCGACUGUUUAAUUAAAACAGAGGAGACAGAUGGUCCUUGCGGACGUUUACUGCCUCUGAUUUCUGCCCAGUGCUCUAAAUGUUAAAUCGUAGUAAUUCGAGCAAGCGCGGAUGAACGGCGGGAGUAACUAUGACUCUCUUAAGAUAGCCAAAUGCCUCGUCAGCUAACUACUGACGCGCAUGAAUGGAUUAACGAGAUUCCCACUGUGUCUAACUACUAUCUAGCGAAACAACAGCCAAGUGAACGGGCUUGGCAAAAAUAGCGGGAAAGAAGACCCUGUUGAGCUCGACUCUAGUUUGACAUUGUGAAGAGAGGUGUAGCAUAGGUGGGAGACUUCGGUCGCCAAUGAAAUACCACCACUCUCAUCGAUUCUUUACUUAUUCGGUGAGAGGAAAAUUGAGCUUCUGCUCCUUUUUCUUUGUCUUAAGCAAAGCCACCUGGUGGCCUCGCGACUCUCGCCGAAGACAGUGACAGGCGGGAAGUUUGGCUGGGGCGGUACAUCUGUCAAAUCGUAACCCAGGUGUCCUAAGGCUAGCUCAGAGAGGACGGAAACCUCUCGCAGAGCAAAAAGCAAAGGAGCAAAAGCUCGCUUGAAACCAAGCAUAACAAAAACAAAUGACAACGUAUUCCUGAUCCGGUAGAUUUUUUCGUGCUGCCGAAUAGGCUUCAUAGUUUCUAUGGAGGUCAUGUCAUUGUGUCAAUUCAUCUUUUUUGGCAAUAUCAUAGUAAUAUCUAUGGUGCGACAGAACGUCUGGCGCGCCCCAUGAAAACAACCAGCAUGAUCUUCUUGAAAAUCGCUUCGCCCGCCUCAUUUUCAGAGCGAUCAUCACCUCUACUGGUCGCCUACGCACUCGCCACAUUUCUAUGAAGACGUCACGAGGCGCGAUAGACUGUGACGCUUAUCGUUAUCUUCUCUACAUCUUUUCCAGCCCAAUCCUCACACGAGUGGUAUUGUCUGUCUGCCUUGCUCCUUCUUCCCUUUCCAACGACAUCUGACGAUGCAAACAGGAAAACUUCGCCUCAGACGUGAUUCCAUGAACUGAGGGUAAACUUUU